UACGGAGGGUGCAAGCGUUGUCCGGAUUUAUUGGGUUUAAAGGGUGCGUAGGCGGUCUUUUAAGUCAGUGGUGAAAUCCUCCAGCUUAACUGGAGAACAGCCAUUGAUACUGGAAGACUUGAGUACAGACGAGGUAGGCGGAAUUUAUGGUGUAGCGGUGAAAUGCAUAGAUACCAUAAAGAACUCCUAUUGCGAAGGCAGCUUACUAGGCUGUAACUGACGCUGAGGCACGAAAGCGUGGGGAUCAAACAGG
RNAcentral lists this ribosomal RNA (253 nucleotides) under uncultured bacterium. Its description in RNAcentral is "partial 16S ribosomal RNA". It matches the Rfam family "Bacterial small subunit ribosomal RNA", at positions 524 to 776 of the family's 1533-position model. The record is from RNAcentral.